AACGAACGCUGGCGGCAUGCCUAACACAUGCAAGUCGAACGGGCAGGGGCAACCCUGUCAGUGGCGGACGGGUGAGUAACGCGUGGGGACCUGCCUCGAAGUUCGGAAUAACCGCGGGAAACUGCGGCUAAUACCGGAUGUGGCCUGAGGGCCAAAGGGGAAACUCGCUUCGAGAGGGGCCCGCGUCCGAUUAGCUAGUUGGCGGGGUAACGGCCCAUCAAGGCGACGAUCGGUAGCUGGUCUGAGAGGAUGAUCAGCCACACUGGGACUGAGACACGGCCCAGACUCCUACGGGAGGCAGCAGUGGGGAAUAUUGGACAAUGGGGGCAACCCUGAUCCAGCAAUGCCGCGUGAGUGAUGAAGGCCUUCGGGUUGUAAAGCUCUUUUGGCGGGGACGAUGAUGACGGUACCCGCAGAAUAAGCCCCGGCUAACUUCGUGCCAGCAGCCGCGGUAAUACGAAGGGGGCUAGCGUUGUUCGGAAUUACUGGGCGUAAAGGGCGCGUAGGCGGUCCUGAUCGUCGGAUGUGAAAGGCCUGGGCUCAACCUGGGAAUGGCAUCCGAUACGGCGGGACUGGAGUGUGGGAGAGGUUGGUGGAAUUCCCAGUGUAGAGGUGAAAUUCGUAGAUAUUGGGAAGAACACCGGUGGCGAAGGCGGCCAACUGGACCACAACUGACGCUGAGGCGCGAAAGCGUGGG
Molecule: ribosomal RNA, 697 nt
Filed under: uncultured Alphaproteobacteria bacterium
Lineage: Bacteria; Pseudomonadati; Pseudomonadota; Alphaproteobacteria
Description: bacterial SSU rRNA
Rfam family: Bacterial small subunit ribosomal RNA
Source: RNAcentral